RNAcentral lists this ribosomal RNA (498 nucleotides) under uncultured bacterium. RNAcentral's name for it is "partial 16S ribosomal RNA". It matches the Rfam family "Bacterial small subunit ribosomal RNA", at positions 28 to 508 of the family's 1533-position model. The record is from RNAcentral.
GACGAACGCUGGCGGCGUGCCUAAUACAUGCAAGUUGAGCGCUGAAGGUUGGUACUUGUACCAACUGGAUGAGCAGCGAACGGGUGAGUAACGCGUGGGGAAUCUGCCUUUGAGCGGGGGACAACAUUUGGAAACGAAUGCUAAUACCGCAUAAAAACUUUAAACACAAGUUUUAAGUUUGAAAGAUGCAAUUGCAUCACUCAAAGAUGAUCCCGCGUUGUAUUAGCUAGUUGGUGAGGUAAAGGCUCACCAAGGCGAUGAUACAUAGCCGACCUGAGAGGGGGAUCGGCCACAUUGGGACUGAGGCACGGCCCAAACUCCUACGGGAGGCAGCAGUAGGGAAUCUUCGGCAAUGGACGAAAGUCUGACCGAGCAACGCCGCGUGAGUGAAGAAGGUUUUCGGAUCGUAAAACUCUGUUGGUAGAGAAGAACGUUGGUGAGAGUGGAAAGCUCAUCAAGUGACGGUAACUACCCAGAAAGGGACGGCUAACUACGUGC